Long non-coding RNA from Alexandromys fortis (reed vole), 1417 nucleotides. RefSeq lists it as uncharacterized. The transcript has 2 exons. The record is from RefSeq and is a predicted model, not a curated record. NCBI's taxonomy places the organism in Eukaryota, Metazoa, Chordata, Mammalia, Rodentia, Cricetidae.
GGAACUAGCUCUUGUAGACCAGGCUGGCCUUGAACUCAGAGAUCCCUGUCUCUGCCUCCAGAGUGCUGGGAUCAAAGGCGUGCGCCACCACUGCCUGGACUAAAAAUAACUUUCAAAAUACACAUAUGAUGUUUUUUAACUAUUACUGCACAUACGAUGGGUUCUUGGCACAAGCCUCACUCAUGAGCUGUGGUUGUGGAAGGACAGGCUAAACCCUGAGGGCUGCCACCUAGCACAGGACCAAUAUUGUCCUUGGGUCUCACCUUUCAGUACAAGAUCUUGUUGCACGGCUGUUGGUAUGGUCUGUUUGGAGGAAACCCUGAUAACUCUCCAACUGAACUGGACGAGGCCAACCAGAGAGCCCUGACUCAGCCUCUUCUUGGGGAGGAGAGCCUGCUGACUCGAUGCUCCCCAGGCUACAGCUCCAGCGACUCCCCACUGGAUUCUCCCACCAAAUACCCACCUCUGUACCCACCUGGCAGGAUCAUCCACCUGGAAGAAGAGAGUGGUUCAGGGAGGUUUGGCUGCUGUUCUGCUGCCCGGUACAGAGCAAGGUGGGCACAUGAAGCAGAAUUUGGCAAGAUCCUGAUAGGCCCAAAGAUGCUGACUGACCACCUGCCUAACAUCGUCAAUCAGGCGCUGGACAGAGUAGUCGCGGACAGAACAGCCUGUGUCUCCUGCCCGGGACAAGGUGGCCCUCCUGCAGCUGUGGCCUAACCCCGCUUGUGGACACUGCCCAGCACAAUGGGCUUGCACUCCCUUCCCUUUAGACUGACUGAAUGAGUGGCUUCUGUGAGGCUGGUGUGGUGGUUCCCAUUAACAGUAAGCUGGUGGGUCCCUGUAGAAUGGGCAACAGUAUGACCAUACAAUUCAGAGAAACUUUUUUCUUAAGACAGGGUUUCUAUGGAGCCCUGGCUGUUCUGGAAUUCCAUCUGGAAGACCAGGCCAGCCUCAAACUCAGAGAUCCAACUGCCUGGGAUUAAAGGCAUGUGCCGCCACCACCAACCUAUAAAACCAUUUUUAACCACAGUAUUACUAGAUCAGGAGUCGGGAACACGCAGAGGUGUUAGGACUUCUGGGACAGUUUGUGGAGCAAGCCUCCUUUAGCCACCUGAGAACUCCACAUAUGAAGACCCUCAGUGAAUCUCUAGCACUUCAAUCCCUGCCAGGACCCCAUCCCGCUGUUUACAAGAGUCUGACUCUAAGCCGACAGGUGUGCACUUUAUCUUCUUCGCCGGCAUUCGUGCGGCACUAAGGGCAGCCGGAGCGUCCUGAGCCCACUGUGGCUCCAUUUGUACAACAUGAACUGACUGCUUAACUUUCACGUAUGCGCUUAAUUCUCACAGUAGUCUAGCUCUGGAGCCAGGUGUUGGGCUCAGGGAGGAUUUUUUAAAAUAAAGUAAUUGAUACACCAUCA